This 400-nucleotide ribosomal RNA is filed under the name Babesia bigemina. RNAcentral's name for it is "partial small subunit ribosomal RNA". It matches the Rfam family "Eukaryotic small subunit ribosomal RNA", at positions 457 to 925 of the family's 1831-position model. Lineage: Eukaryota; Apicomplexa; Aconoidasida; Piroplasmida; Babesiidae. The record is from RNAcentral.
CAGGGAGGUAGUGACAAGAAAUAACAAUACAGGGCUUUCGUCUUGUAAUUGGAAUGAUGGUGAUGUACAACCUCACCAGAGUACCAAUUGGAGGGCAAGUCUGGUGCCAGCAGCCGCGGUAAUUCCAGCUCCAAUAGCGUAUAUUAAACUUGUUGCAGUUAAAAAGCUCGUAGUUGUAUUUCAGCCUCGCGUUUUUUCCCUCGUUUUGGGUCUUUUCGCUGGCUUUUUUUUUACUUUGAGAAAAUUAGAGUGUUUCAAGCAGACUUUUGUCUUGAAUACUUCAGCAUGGAAUAAUAGAGUAGGACCUUGGUUCUAUUUUGUUGGUUUUGAGCCUUGGUAAUGGUUAAUAGGAACGGUUGGGGGCAUUCGUAUUUAACUGUCAGAGGUGAAAUUCUUAGAU